Molecule: ribosomal RNA, 616 nt
Filed under: Clitopilus sp.
Lineage: Eukaryota; Fungi; Basidiomycota; Agaricomycetes; Agaricales; Entolomataceae
Description: LSU rRNA
Rfam family: Eukaryotic large subunit ribosomal RNA
Source: RNAcentral
CGUCAUAGAGGGUGAGAAUCCCGUCUUUGACACGGACUACCAGUGCUUUGUGAUGCGCUCUCAAAGAGUCGAGUUGUUUGGGAAUGCAGCUCUAAAUGGGUGGUAAAUUCCAUCUAAAGCUAAAUAUUGGCGAGAGACCGAUAGCGAACAAGUACCGUGAGGGAAAGAUGAAAAGAACUUUGGAAAGAGAGUUAAACAGUACGUGAAAUUGUUGAAAGGGAAACGCUUGAAGUCAGUCGCGUUAGCUAGGAAUCAGCCUUGCUUUUGCUUGGUGUACUUCCUGGUUGACGGGUCAGCAUCAAUUUUGACCGGUGGAAAAAGGCCAGUUGAAUGUGGCACCUUCGGGUGUGUUAUAGCUUCUGGUCGUAUACAUCGGUUGGGAUUGAGGAACUCAGCACGCCGCAAGGUCGGGGUUCGCCCACGUUCGUGCUUAGGAUGCUGGCAUAAUGGCUUUAAUCGACCCGUCUUGAAACACGGACCAAGGAGUCUAACAUGCCUGCGAGUGUUUGGGUGGAAAACCCGAGCGCGUAAUGAAAGUGAAAGUUGAGAUCCCUGUCGUGGGGAGCAUCGACGCCCGGACCAGACCUUCUGUGACGGAUCCGCGGUAGAGCAUGUA